UAUACUAUAGUUUAUAUAAUUUAAAACCUUGAACUGCAAAUUCGCCAAAGGACAAUAAAAUCCUAGUAUAU
Molecule: transfer RNA, 71 nt
Filed under: Sinotaia quadrata
Lineage: Eukaryota; Metazoa; Mollusca; Gastropoda; Architaenioglossa; Viviparidae
Description: tRNA-Cys
Source: RNAcentral